AGCAUUAAAUCAUAUAUAUUCAAUGGUGUCAACAAAACUCUCCUUUCAGUCAAUUUUGUUGCUUUGUGUGAUUUUGUUCUCUAUGAUGGCUCUCCAUCAUUGUGAUGAAAGUAAAAGAAUUAAGGCAAAACUUGCGAGUGAUGUAUGUAUCCCACUUUUUAAUCAUGGAGAACCACCCGAAUGGUGUUGCUAUGUGGACAAACCACCGACGUGCGAUUAUGAUUCUCUACAAGCAUGUCUUGCUAAAUGUCAUCAAUGAUGUAUUAAGCAGAUGUAUUAUUAAGAUACAAUAAUUUGAUUAUCAUUAAUAAAGUUCUGUUGCAGUCAUUAAUAUA
Capsicum annuum is the source of this 335-nucleotide long non-coding RNA. RefSeq lists it as uncharacterized. The record is from RefSeq and is a predicted model, not a curated record. NCBI's taxonomy places the organism in Eukaryota, Viridiplantae, Streptophyta, Magnoliopsida, Solanales, Solanaceae. The transcript is spliced from 2 exons.